AGCAGCAGCCACGGGAAUACAGAGGGUGCGAGCGUUAAUCGGAUUUACUGGGCGUAAAGCGUGCGUAGGCGGCUAAUUGAGUCGGAUGUGAAAUCCCCGAGCUUAACUUGGGAAUUGCAUUCGAUACUGGUUAGCUAGAGUGUGGGAGAGGAUGGUAGAAUUCCAGGUGUAGCGGUGAAAUGCGUAGAGAUCUGGAGGAAUACCGAUGGCGAAGGCAGCCAUCUGGCCUAAUACUGACGCUGAGGUACGAAAGCAUGGGGAGCAAACAGGAUUAGAUACCCCUGUAGUCCCUGUCUCUUAUAC
Molecule: ribosomal RNA, 303 nt
Filed under: uncultured bacterium
Lineage: Bacteria
Description: partial 16S ribosomal RNA
Rfam family: Bacterial small subunit ribosomal RNA
Source: RNAcentral